UGUGGUGAUGAUGGCUUGAAGGAUACACCUGUUCCCAUGCCGAACACAGAAGUUAAGCUUCAACACGCCGAAAGUAGUUGGGGG
Molecule: ribosomal RNA, 84 nt
Filed under: Limosilactobacillus reuteri
Lineage: Bacteria; Bacillati; Bacillota; Bacilli; Lactobacillales; Lactobacillaceae
Source: RNAcentral